This 95-nucleotide signal recognition particle RNA is filed under the name Verrucomicrobiales bacterium. RNAcentral describes it as "signal recognition particle sRNA small type". It matches the Rfam family "Bacterial small signal recognition particle RNA". From Rfam's summary of the family: The signal recognition particle (SRP) is a universally conserved ribonucleoprotein involved in the co-translational targeting of proteins to membranes. Archaeal SRP consists of a 7S RNA and homologues of the eukaryotic SRP19 and SRP54 proteins. In most bacteria, the SRP consists of a 4.5S RNA and the Ffh protein (a homologue of the eukaryotic SRP54 protein). Lineage: Bacteria; Pseudomonadati; Verrucomicrobiota; Verrucomicrobiia; Verrucomicrobiales. The record is from RNAcentral.
CUCCAGAGGCUGCGGAAUGAUGGCUUGUAAAUCCCGCCAGGGCCGGAAGGCAGCAACGGUAGCUUGUCCAGCAUUGCCGCAGUUCUCUGGUCCCU